Molecule: ribosomal RNA, 408 nt
Filed under: uncultured bacterium
Lineage: Bacteria
Description: partial 16S ribosomal RNA
Rfam family: Bacterial small subunit ribosomal RNA
Source: RNAcentral
GACGAACGCUGGCGGCGUGCUUAACACAUGCAAGUCGAACGAAGUGGCGAACGGGUGAGUAACGCGUAAUCAACCUGCCCUUCAGAGGGGGACAACAGUUGGAAACGACUUCUAAUACCGCAUACUGAAGGAGGGGAUUGCGUCUGAUUAGCUAGUUGGAGGGGUAACGGCCCACCAAGGCGAUGAUCAGUAGCCGGUCUGAGGGGCGGAACGGCAAAAUGUGGACAGAGACACGGCCCAGACUCCUACGGGAGGUAGCAGUGGGGGAGCUUCCGGAAUUGACGAAAGUCUGAAGGAGCAACGCCGGGUGAGUGAUGACGGCCUUCGGGUUGUAAAGCUCUGUUAAUCGGGACGCGGUACCGGAAUAGAAAGCCACGGCUAACUACGUGCCAGCAGCCGCGGUAAUUC